RNAcentral lists this ribosomal RNA (253 nucleotides) under uncultured bacterium. RNAcentral's name for it is "partial 16S ribosomal RNA". It matches the Rfam family "Bacterial small subunit ribosomal RNA", at positions 524 to 776 of the family's 1533-position model. The record is from RNAcentral.
UACGUAGGCAGCGAGCGUUGUUCGGAGUUACUGGGCGUAAAGGGUGUGUAGGCGGUUGUUUAAGUUUGGUGUGAAAUCUCCCGGCUCAACUGGGAGGGUGCGCCGAAUACUGAAUGACUAGAGUGCGGGAGAGGAAAGUGGAAUUCCUGGUGUAGCGGUGAAAUGCGUAGAUAUCAGGAGGAACACCGGUGGUGUAGACGGCUUUCUGGACCGUAACUGACGCUGAGGCGCGAAAGCGUGGGGAGCAAACGGG